AGAGUUUGAUCAUGGCUCAUAGUGAACGCUGGCGGCGUGCCUAACACAUGCAAGUCGAACGAGAACGGGUUACAGCUUGCUGUAACUGUCAGCUAAGUGGCGCACGGGUGAGUAAUAUAUAGUUAAUCUGCCCCAAAGAAGAGAAUAAUUGUUGGAAACGACUUGUAAUGCUCUAUAUGCCUUUAUCACAUAAGUGAGCAAGGGAAAUAUUUAUAGCUUUGGGAUGAGACUGUACGGUAUCAGCUAGUUGGUGAGGUAAUGGCUCACCAAGGCUAUGACAUCUAACUGGUUUGAGAGGAUGAUCAGUCACACUGGAACUGAGACACGGUCCAGACUCCUACGGGAGGCAGCAGUGGGGAAUAUUGCACAAUGGAGGAAACUCUGAUGCAGCAACGCCGCGUGGAGGAUGACACAUUUCGGUGCGUAAACUCCUUUUAUAUGAGAAGAUAAUGACGGUAUCAUAUGAAUAAGCACCGGCUAACUCCGUGCCAGCAGCCGCGGUAAUACGGGGGGUGCAAGCGUUACUCGGAAUCACUGGGCGUAAAGAGCAUGUAGGCUGGUAAUUAAGUUGGAAGUGAAAUCCUAUGGCUCAACCAUAGAACUGCUUCCAAAAC
RNAcentral lists this ribosomal RNA (614 nucleotides) under uncultured bacterium. RNAcentral describes it as "bacterial SSU rRNA". It matches the Rfam family "Bacterial small subunit ribosomal RNA", at positions 8 to 633 of the family's 1533-position model. The record is from RNAcentral.